AGCAGCCGCGGUAAUUCCAGCUCCAAUAGCGUAUAUUAAAGUUGUUGCAGUUAAAAAGCUCGUAGUUGAAUUUCGGAAUCAGUACGCUGGUCGUGCCUUCGGUAUGUACUGGUGUCACUGAUUCCUCCCUUCUGAAGAACCAUCAUGCCAUUCACUUGGUGUGGUGGGGAAUCAGGACUGUUACUUUGAAAAAUUAGAGUGUUUAAAGCAGGCUCGCGCUUGAAUACAUUAGCAUGGAAUAAUGAAAUAGGACGUUAAUCCUAUUUUGUUGGUUUCUAGGAUUGACGUAAUGAUUAAUAGGGAUAGUUGGGGGCAUUAGUAUUCAAUUGUCAGAGGUGAAAUUCUUGGAUUUAUUGAAGACUAACUACUGCGAAAGCAUUUGCCAAGGAUGUUUUCAUUAAUCAAGAACGAAAGUUAGGGGAUCGAAGACGAUCAGAUACCGUCGUAGUCUUAACCAUAAACUAUGCCGACUA
This 473-nucleotide small RNA is filed under the name uncultured Glomus. RNAcentral's name for it is "SSU rRNA". It matches the Rfam family "Eukaryotic small subunit ribosomal RNA", at positions 569 to 1048 of the family's 1831-position model. Lineage: Eukaryota; Fungi; Glomeromycota; Glomeromycetes; Glomerales; Glomeraceae. The record is from RNAcentral.